AACAUCAUAAUUAUAUCGCGAUUGUACCACUAGUAUAUGCAACUUUUCUUAAGAUUGUAGGGAAAGGCUAACCGAACCAUACUUUUCCCAUUUUAAGUGGUACUAAAGCGUAGAUAGAAUGAACGUUGCUGGGCGCCUGAUGUUGAUUAUUUUUAAAAUGAGACAUUGGGAAUCAGCUGUAUCUACAUUU
Molecule: small nucleolar RNA, 190 nt
Filed under: Saccharomyces mikatae IFO 1815
Lineage: Eukaryota; Fungi; Ascomycota; Saccharomycetes; Saccharomycetales; Saccharomycetaceae
Description: Small nucleolar RNA snR32
Rfam family: Small nucleolar RNA snR32
Source: Rfam by way of RNAcentral